UAUGAGAAAUUAAAACUGGAGAAAGAGGGCUUUCCUCCUUGAAGGAAGGGUGUUGGGUGAACUAACACUAUUUUCUCCUGCCCUUUCCCCCAAUCUCAAUCCCUUUCUCUCCAAACAUUCUUCCUUGAGCACCCCACUCUGGCACUCAAAAAGCCAUGGGAAUGGGAAAGAAGUGGCUGGAAGUAAACAGCCUGCUUACUCACAGCAACUGAAAAUUUUGUUUCGACGAUUCUGGUUCCAGGGGCAGGAGCUGAAGAUUAAUGCCUGGAGUCUGCCCCAUUCUGAGAGCAGCAGCCUGGCUCCUGGUGGCUCCAGCAGCAGCUCCUCACAUCUCCUAGUUCUGGUGAAAUAUGCUGCCAUGGGGGAAAUGACAAAGCAGAGGAAGAAAUCAGCAGCAAUAUCAGUAACAGCACCCAGAAUUUGCUGAGCGCCAGCUAUGUGCCAGCCUUCAUAUCUGUUUUUUUCUUAUGAAGCUUCUUCUGGUUGGAAACUUGUCAAAUUUCAUCAGCUAUGAAACCCACGUAGUCGAACACCGUGAUGCUUCUCCUGCAGGGCGUGUGAUG
Molecule: long non-coding RNA, 563 nt
Filed under: Homo sapiens (human)
Lineage: Eukaryota; Metazoa; Chordata; Mammalia; Primates; Hominidae
Description: non-protein coding lnc-FRMD6-2:1
Source: RNAcentral